AGAUGGAUGUCACAGUUUCUCUUCCCACCAGCAGUGAUGAGCCUUUCUGCUUCUCCGUGUCCCGGUCACGUCUCCCGGCCACCUGCUGACACACGUGAGAGGCAGGUCUGUCCACUCUCGGAGCCGAUGUAAGUUAGAGCAAAGGUAGCUCCAACCUUGACUUCACUGAACAGGAUUUCCUGGUUUCUCGGCCACCCAGAGACACCUUCCCCUGACCCAUUUCUCACCCAAAUAAAGGGGCCUGAUUUACUCCUGGACUCCCUUCCAGAGAAGGAACAUUCAGGUGCAUCAUGAAAAACCAGCAGGAAGCCAGGCGUCAUGCCAGUGGGAUGGGACUGCGGCUGGCAGCGGGGGAGUUGUCAUGUGUCGACCCGGCACACCAGAAAAGGCUCAGUGAGUCUCGAACACAGUGAUUAACUUCUCUUUAAUCUCUGCAUCACUGAGCAGCCCGGCCAACUGCUUAGCUUCCCCGGCAAGCUCUGCAUGAGUCACUGAUGUCUUACUGUGGAUGUCCUACUGUGGCCUGAGCACAUUGCAUUUCAGGCAGGUGUGACUGUUCCUUUAUGUGCCCUUGAGAUACCCAGGGAAUGAAUAAUGCCUGCUGUUCCCCUCCGACACUAACUAAAUAUUGAAUCGACAAUGCCUUUUUUUUUUUUAAAAACAAAAUAAUAUUGCUCUGGAGUCUUUUUUCUGCUCCAUUUCUUUUCUUUUUUUCUGGCCACUGAAUCAAGGCUGACAGUCCCUGGGAUGUGGGGCAGCUCCUUAAGUAAUAGGAAGUUUAUUGACUCAUGGGUUAAUUGAGAAAAUCAUUUACCAAACCAUAUGUGGGCAUGCUGUGCUAGCAACCCUUGAACUGCCAUAAAGACUGGGACCCAGCUGUGGCCUGCUUAGCUCUUUCUUCUAAUGUGGGUCAGUCCUUGAACUAGGACAGUCUGCAGGUGUUCCCUUUGUGCUCAGAUAGACACUCAACUCUUAGCCCUCGAAAGAAAGAAGUCAGAACAAAGGCCUGCUUGGGCAUGUUGGGGCACAGAAAUCGGGGAGAGAAAACCCAAACCUUUAUCGUGUAGCAGCUGCCUUGUACUCCUCUGACCGUAUUAUACAAUCUGUUACAUUCAAUUAGAAUCACAGAGAUCCUGCCUCCCUUCCCUACGACGCUCUAGCUGUGUGUCUUUCAGCAAAUCGCCUAACCUCUCUGAGCCUCUGUUUCUCAUCCUCUCGGGGCCAUUGUGAAGACGAAAUGAGGUGAGGAAUGGGGAUGUGCGGUAGGCAGAAUAAUGACCCCAGACACACCCAGGUCCCAGGCUUCAGAACCUGUGAGCGUUCCCUCGUGUGGCAAGAGGGUGUGAUUAAAUUAAGGAUUUUGAGCUGGGAGGGGAUUAUCCUGGAUUCUCUGGGUUGAUCCGGGAUAAUCACGGGGAUCCUUCUAAGAGGGAGGCAGCAGAGGGGAUGAGGCCAUAUAAGCAGAGACUGGAGGGAUGUGACCCCGAGCCACGGAAUGUCAGCACUUUCUGGAAGCUAUGGGAGGCCAGGGACAGAUUCGCCUCCAGGGCCCCUCCAACACCUUGACUCAGUGACACCUGAGCCCAGUGGGACGGAUUUCACACUCUCGGCUUCCAGAACUGUAAGAGAAUGUGUUUUAGGCCACUAAGUCGUGGUCAUGUGUUACAGCAGCCAGGAGAAACUAAUACGGGAUGAUGUGUGAAUAUAAAAUCCUGCACACGUGGACAGAUUUGCUGCGAGGUAGCCGGAGCCAGGUGAGGACAAAACGCAGAGGGUGUGCCUGACGAGCCAGCAAGGUGUCAGCCCGCAGGUGUCUAUUUGCAGGGAGGGGAAGUGCCUCCACAAGGCCGUGCGUGGCUGUGUGGCUGGACUGAUGUCUGCAGCCUAACCCUGACUGGUCACCCGGAUUUAAGCGCCCAUCCAGGGGCCAGAGACUCUGGACAGAGCCCAAGGAAUUGUUUUCCAAGGGACUCGGACAGCAUCAUGGAUAGAAACUGAGCUGCUUUGGGGCUUGGUGACAAGGCAGGAGAUGGGGGGGGGGGUAAGGAGUAGCUCCCUAAAUUCUGUACGCAGCAUGGCGUGGCUGUAGUUCAACAUGUUGUUGCCUGGCGUGUUCUGACACUCAAGGCUGCAUCUCAGGACCACUGGCCCACCUCAGCCUUGACCUGGACAGUGGGGAAAUGCCCCCUCUUGGGAUUUUGCAGGCAGCUGGUGUCACUAAGAGAUUCAAGCCAGGGAUGUCUGGGUGGCUCAGCGGUUGAGCGGCUUAGGGUGUGAUCCUGGAGUCCUGGGAUCGAGUCCCACAUCGGGCUCCCUGCAUGGAGCCUGCUUCUCUCUCUGCCUCUCUCUCUCUGUGUCUCUCAUGAAUAA
Molecule: long non-coding RNA, 2370 nt
Filed under: Canis lupus familiaris (dog)
Lineage: Eukaryota; Metazoa; Chordata; Mammalia; Carnivora; Canidae
Description: lncRNA (ENSCAFG00845022065.1)
Source: RNAcentral